GCGCCUGCGCAGGCUGGAAAGCGGCUGCAACAUCUUUAAGCUGUUUCUUUCCGGGUCCAGUGCCUGCUGCGAGCAACGCGCUGUUCUAGGGGCGAAGCCAAGAACUACUUCUCGUGGAGCUGAGGUUCAGCGGUGUGUGUGUGGGACACUCACAAUAAACAUCAUAAAUAAGUAAAUUCUAUAAGAGGCUGCGUAGCAAAAUGGAGUCUGCAUCCAGAUUUAUUGCGUUUCAAUCCCAGAUUUUCCACUUACUAGCUGUGUUACCCCGAGAAAAUUGCUUUAUCCUUCUGUGCUUCACUUUCCUCCUCAGUUAAAUGAGGAUCAUCAUAGUGUCUACUUCAGAGUUGGUGUGAGAGUUGAAUGAGGAUACUCUCUGUGAGCCCAGCUGCUAUGUUGUGAGGAAGCCCAAGCCACGUGAGGAGUCUCCCAGAUAAGGUCCCAGCUGAAACCAGCAUCAACCACCAGAGAAGUGAGUGAACAUUGAGAUGAUUCCAGCCCCCAGGCUUUGAGCCGUCCCAGCUGACACCAAGAGGAGGAGAGAGAGAACUGUUCCCAUCAAGCCCGGCCCAAACUGUGAGCAACAUCGAUGCCUUUGUUUAAAGCUUUUGUUUAAAGCCAGUAAACUUGGGGGUAAUUUGUGAUGCAGCCAUAACACCUGGAUCACUGGGUCACAUGUGAAAUUUGUAUCUUGCUGUGGGUUGUGUAAAAAACCAUUGAAAGCCACAGCUGUAGUGGCAAGUCCUCACAGUAAGCAAAGAAACAGAUGAACAGAAUCAUUUUAGCCAGGAACACCUGCUACAGGGAAUAAACCAGGGUCAUAGGACAGAGUCACCAGAGUUGGGGCAGGGGAGGGAAGUGGCUUUAGGUUAUGUGGUCAGGGAUGGACUCCCUGAGAAGGGAACAUAUGAACUGGGACCCGAGUGAUGAAAAGGAAACAAAAAGGAAACAAAGCACCAGGAGAGGAAAGAGUAAGUUCAAAGGUGUUAAGCAGGGAAGAGCUAUGGAGUGGAUUGGCUCCAGAUCUUCCAGAAUCAAGAGAACUUGCCAGCAAGACUGGAUUCCAUCCUUCUCUGAGGAAGAGAAAGGAUACUUCUGGGUGUUUGGCCCAAACACCUGUUGGGUGGUGGGUAGUGGUGGUGGCACUGGUGGCCAAGGUGGGUAAGGGAGCAGGCUUGGAGGUGGAGGGCUGCGUGAAAUGGAAAGCUUGGGGAAGUUCCCAGUGCCUGGAGGCUGACCACGUGGAGCUAUCAAGAGGGUAGUUGCAGGGCUUCCCUGGCGGCCCAGUGGUUAAGACUCCGUGCUUCCACUUCAGGGGACGUGGGUUCGAUCCCUGGUCAGGGAACUAAGAUCUCGCAUGAUCCACAGCGUGGCAAAAAAGAAAAAAAAAGAAAAGGUAGUUGCUUGGCUAUGAGCCUGCAGAGACGUUUGAGCUGCAGAUAGAAAUCCGGGCGUCGUCAGGGUGCAGCCAAUAUCAGAUGACAACUCUCCUGGGGGAGAGUACGGAGAGGACAAGGUCUGAGGACUAAGUUCUGAGACCCACCAAUUGCAGACGUUGGAGAAGAGAGGAGAAGCCGGCCAGAUAGAGAAGGCACAGCCAGGGAGAGAGGAGAGAAACUACAACAGAGGCGUCAAGAUUUCCACUGACCAUCCAGAAUCUGACAGGUCCCCAAGCCCAAGCCUGGAGCCACCUUCCUCCUUAGAGCUUACUUUCAUGGGAUAAUUUUUGCCAAGACCCCAGGGACUGUUCAUGUUGUAAUAUUUUGACAGCGAUCAUGGAGCUGGGGACACCCUAAGACUAAUAUAUUUAUUUAGUCUUCCCCGAGUCACAGAUUCCUUUGAAAUCUAAUGAGAGCAACGAGACAGGCUCUUCUUUGAAAAACGUACCCAACAGGCACACAUUUUUGGAUUUCAGGACCCCAGAAGGCCAUCCCCAGAUGUUCAGGUUAAGAAGCUCCACAGCCUUUAUCUCAUAGGAUGGCUAGCAGAUGUAUAAGUGAUGACACCUUAGUUGUUUCCUGCAGAAAUGUCGGUGUCGGGGCAUGGAGCUGGGUCCCCAGAGUCAGCGCUUAUGGCAUCGCUCACCCUCCUGUUCGCUGAGCAUUUGAUGCUGAGAUUGCUCUGUCACCAUCAGCUACGUGACCUUUGGUGGCAGGGGCUGGCCUUCUCUGUGCCUAAAGGCGGGCACAGUGCUGAGUGAAAUGAAGAAGAGAUAAGACCAUGGGUUCCGUUUCUGGCUCUGCAGUUCACCUAUGACCGUGGCAAGUUCUUAACCUUUCUAAGUCAUGGGCUAAUGAUAGCUCUCUUAUCAGCUGGGAAAGGUUUUUCAAGAGUUAAGCCAUUCCAGGUUGCACAACCAGAGCCUGAAAUAUAUAAAUGCUCCUGUCAAAAAGGCCACUCACCUCACUUCCAAAAAAUAAAGAGAGAACCACUCACAGCCAUUAGGAUGGCUACUAUUAAAAAAAAAAAAUCAGAAAAUAACAGUUGUUGGUGAGGACAUGGAAAAACUGGUUGGUGGGAAUGUAAAUUGGUGCAACUGCCCCGGAAAAAACACUGGCUAUUCCUCAAAAUACUGAAAACAGAACUACUGUAUGACCCAGCAGUUGUACUUCUAGGUAUAUACCCCCCAGAUUGAAAGCUGGGACUUGAAGAUGUUUGUAUAACCAGCAUGAUUGAUAAUAGCCAAAAGGUGGAAGCAACCAAGUGUCCACUGAUGGAUGAAUGGAUAAAUAAAACGUGGUGCAUGCAAACAGUGGAACAGUAUUCAGUCUUUAAGUAAGGAAAUUCUGCCACAUGCUACAAUGUGGAUGAAGCUUGAGUAUAUUAUGCUAAGUGAAAUAAGCCAGCCAUAAAAAGACAAAUACUGCACGAUUCCACUUAUAUGAGGUCCCUAGAGUAGUUGAAUUCAGAGACAGAAAAUAGAAUGGCAGUUGCCAGCGGCUGGGUGUGGGAGUGAUGAUGUCAGUGUUUCAUGGGGACAGAGUUUCACUUUGGGAAGAUGAAAAGAGUUCUGGAGAUGGAUGGUGGAGAUCGUUGCACAACGAUGUGAAUGUACUUAAUGGCACUGAACUGCACGGUUAAAAAUAGUUUAGAUGGUAAAUGUUUUGUUAUGUAUAUUUUGCCACAAAAAUAGACAUAUAUUUUUUUCAGACAUAUAUUUUUUUCAUGCACAAUUUCUAUUCUUUUUCUGUAAUGUCUUUUUAAAAAUUUUUUAUUUAUUUAAUUUUGGCUGUGUUUGGUCUUCGUUGCUGUGUUCGGACUUUCUCUAGUUGUGGCGAGCGGGGGCUACUCUUCGUUGUGGUACGCGGGCUUCUCAUUGUGGUGGCUUCUUUUGUUGUGGAGCACGGGCUCUAGGCGUGAGGGCUUCAGUAGUUGUGGCUCGCGGGCUUAGUAGUUGUGGCUCACGGGCUCUAGAGCACAGGCUCAGUAGUUGUGGUGCAUGGGCUUAGUUGCUCCGUGGCAUGUGGGAUCUUCCCGGACCAGGGCUCGAACCCGUGUCCCCUGCAUUGGCAGGCGGAUUCUUAACCACCAUGCCACCAGGGAAGUCCCUGUAAUAUCUUUAUUGAAGUAUAAUUACUUUACAAUUUUGUAUUAGUUUCUACAACAAAGUGAAUCAGCUAUAUGUAUACAUAUAUCCCCAUAUGCCCUCCCUCUUGAGCCUCCCUCCCACCCUCCCUAUCCCACCCCUCUAGGUGGACACAAAGCACUGAGCUGAUCUCCCUGUGCUAUGCAGCUGCUUCCCACUAGCCAUCCAUUUUACAUUUGGUAGUGUAUAUAUGUCAAUGCUACUCUCUCACUUCAUCCCAGCUUUCCCUUCCCCCACUGUGUCCUCAAGUCCGUUCCCUAUGUCGGCGUCUUUAUUCCUCCCCUGCCACUAGGUUCAUCAGUACCAGUUUUUUAGAUUCCAUAUAUGUGUGUUAGCAUACGGUAUUUGUUUUCCUCUUUCUCUCUUACUUCGCUCUGUAUGACGGACUCUAGGUCCAUCCACCUCAUUACAAAUAACUCAAUUUCAUUCCUUUUUGUAGACAUGUAUUUUUAAAAAGCAAAGCAAGACACUGGGUUUGGAGGGUGGGGAAUGGGGUCUUAAGCAUGAGCUGAACAGGGUAACAAAGAUGAUGAAAUAAAUGGUCCUGGGUGAUUGCUUGUGAGAAACAAUUUUUUAAAAAUUUAAUUUAAUUUAUUUAUAUUUUGGCCACGCCACGUGGCUUGUGGGAUCUUAGUUCCCCGACCAGGGAUGGAACCCGGGCCAUGGCAGUGAAAGCACCGAGUCCUAACCACUGGACCACCAGGGAGCGUCCAAACAAUUUUUUUCUUUUUAAUUUCCGAAAGGCCCCUUCUUGGCUCACAGACCCUUCUGGAAAACUGACAAGAUCAGUGGACCUUCCACUUAGAAAUAUACAACUUUGUGUAAAAUUUCUGGGACUUCCUAUAACCUCUGAAAACCACCCGUUAUCUCCUGGUUGAACAGUCCAGAGGAAAAACAGAGGAAGUGAGAAUCAGGAGAGCAAUCCUCCAUCAUCAGUCAUCCUUGGGGGAGAGAGAGGAGUGGCCUAGGGGCUGGGGAGCGUUGCUGAGGAUGCUCCGCUUCCUUUCCUGGAGCUGGUGACUCAUAGAUGUUCACUUUUCAAAAAGCCAUGGAGCUGUACACUUUUGUACACGACUUGUAUGCAAGUGGUAUACGCCACCUCAAUUAAAAAUAAAACAGCAAAACAAAGUAUUUUAAUAUCCAACCUAUAAGAAAAAGGUUUGGGCUUCCCUGGUGGCGCAGUGGUUGAGAAUCUGCCUGCCAAUGCAGGGGACAUGGGUUCGAGCCCUGGUCUGGGAAGAUCCCACAUGCCGCGGAGCAUCUGGGCCUGUGAGCCACAAUUACUGAGCCUGCGCAUCUGGAGCCUGUGCUCCGCAACAAGAGAGCCCGCGAUAGUGAGAGGUCCGUGCACCGCGAUGAAGAGUGGCCCCCGCUUGCCACAACUAGAGAAAGCCCUCGCACAGAAAUGAAGACCCAACACAGCCAUAAAUAAAUAAAUAAAUAAAGCAAACUGUCAACAAGUAAAAAUAAAUAAACACUAAAAAAAAAAAAAAAGAAAAGAAAAAGGUUUGACAGGAGAUUCUGCAAAGUAUUGACAAUGGCACGCAUUGCUACCAAGUAGGACCAUGGCACCCUCCACUAUGCCAAAUGUUUUUGUAUUGCUUAAACUUUGUGUUUUACAAUCACUAUAAAUUCUUUUGUCAUGAGGAAAAAACAAUUAGUAAACAUUUUUUUCUGCCCACAGUGGGUUUUUUAAAAGUAAAUUUAUUUAUUUUUGGCUGCUUUGGGUCUUGCACGCGGGCUUUCUCUAGUUGCAGUGAGCUGGGGCUACUCUUCAUUGAGGUGCGCGGGCUUCUCAUUGCGGUGGCUUCUCUUGUUGCGGAGCACGGGCUCUAGGUGCCUGGGUUUCAGUAGUUGAGGCUCGCGGGCUCUAGAGCACAGGCUCAGUAGUUGUGCCGCACGGGCUUAGUAGCUCUGUGGCAUGUGGGCUCUUCCCGGACAAGGGCUCGAACCCAUGUGCCCUGCAUUGGCAGGCGGAUUCUUAACCACUGCACCACCAGGGGAGUCCCACCCACAAUGGGUUUGAUUAGAACUUUCUGCCACAGUGGCAGUGUUCUGUAUCUCUGCAGCCCAAUAGGGCAGCCACCAACCACAUGCAGCUACUGACCAUGAAUUAAUUACAGUUGAUUUCCAUCUAAAUGGAGAUUGCCACAGGUGGCUAGUGGCUAUAGUAUUGGAUGGUGCCAGUGUAGGGCAGAGCAUAAGGGCGUUUAUUGUAAUAUUCUUGUCACCUUUCUGUAGCUUGGAACAUUGUUCAAAUAAGUCCAUUUUAAAAAAAGAGAUCUAUUUUAGGGCUUCCCUGGUGGCGCAGUGGCUGAGAGUCCGCCUGCCGAUGCAGGCGACACGGGUUCGUGCCCCGGUCCGGGAAGAUCCCACAUGCCGCGGAGCGGCUGGGCCCGUGAGCCAUGGCCGCUGAGCCUGCACGUACGGAACCUGUGCUCCGCAACGGGAGAGGCCACCACAGUGAGAGGCCCGCGUACCGCAAAAAAAAAUAAAAAAGAGAUCUAUUUUAAAACUUCAAGAGUAGUACAGUAACAAAGACCAGACACAGAUGCUUUGGCAUAAUCAUAAGGUAGCUUUAUUAAAUUCCUUUACUUUCUAAAAAACGAUUACAAAAAGGAAUACUUCAUUUAAGUGUAAUACUGUCUUUAUGGACGUACCGUGGUUGGAAAGUGAAGUUAAAGGUCAUGAAUACACGUGAGAAGAGAGUGGGAUCAGAGGCAGGACCCCCUGUAGCCUACCAUGCCAAGUCCAGUGGGUAAGCUGGGGAGAAGGGAACACAGGGAUAACUAUGGACUUAUAGGGGGUGUCAAUGAACUGCUUCUAAAAGCUUAAAAGAAACACACCCACCGGCUCCAGGGCCAGACACACAGGCACACAACGCUUGUACCGCUUCUCAAAGCUGCCCAAAGCUGUGGCCUUCUGUCAGUGGUCAUCCCCAGUCAGCUUGGGUUUCCUUUCCUCGCCAUUUACACACACACACACGCACGCACGCACGCACGCGCGCGCGCACACACACACACACACUGGGGUGUCUCUCUCCUUUGACCAUUUAAGCUCUCUUGACUUGGGUACCAUCCCUUCCAUCAAAAUCAAAGCAAGCCAGACUCCAUCAAGCCAGGAAACCUACUUUUCUAGGAGAGAAGCCAGCACUUGGCUGUACUGAAUGAACGUGUAAGUGCCGAGGGCUUGCUCUGUCCUGCUGGGGUUUUGGCUUCCACCCCAGCAGCUAGGCUGAGAACUGGACAAGAGAGGACAGGACACCUAAGAACUAGGGAUCUUACUCCCUGGUCACAAGGCACUUUUCGACGCUCGGAACCUGUCCCCUUUCCCCCCUCCCUUUUUUUUUUUUUUUUUUUGGUCACAAAA
This is a long non-coding RNA of Orcinus orca (killer whale), 6952 nucleotides long. RefSeq lists it as uncharacterized. The record is from RefSeq and is a predicted model, not a curated record. NCBI's taxonomy places the organism in Eukaryota, Metazoa, Chordata, Mammalia, Artiodactyla, Delphinidae. The transcript has 2 exons.